Molecule: ribosomal RNA, 527 nt
Filed under: uncultured bacterium
Lineage: Bacteria
Description: bacterial SSU rRNA
Rfam family: Bacterial small subunit ribosomal RNA
Source: RNAcentral
UGGGGAAUCUUGCACAAUGGGCGAAAGCCUGAUGCAGCAACGCCGCGUGCGGGAAGACAGCCCUAGGGUUGUAAACCGCUUUCAGCAGGGAAGAAACUGACGGUACCUGCAGAAGAAGAUGCGGCCAACUACGUGCCAGCAGCCGCGGUGACACGUAGGCAUCAAGCGUUAUCCGGAUUUAUUGGGCGUAAAGAGCUCGUAGGCGGUUCGGUAAGUCGGGUGUGAAAACUCUGGGCUCAACCCAGAGAGGCCACUCGAUACUGCUGUGACUAGAGUGCGGUAGGGGAGCGGGGAAUUCCUGGUGUAGCGGUGAAAUGCGCAGAUAUCAGGAGGAACACCAGUGGCGAAGGCGCCGCUCUGGGCCGUAACUGACGCUGAGGAGCGAAAGCAUGGGUAGCAAACAGGAUUAGAUACCCUGGUAGUCCACACCGUAAACGAUGAAUGCCAGUCGUCGGGUAGCAUGCUAUUCGGUGACACACCUAACGGAUUAAGCAUUCCGCCUGGGAGUACGGUCGCAAGGUUAAAAC